GCCAACUUAGCUCAGUUGGUAGAGCAGCUGAUUCGUAAUCAGCAGGUCGUAGGUUCGAAUCCUAUAGUUGGCUCCA
RNAcentral lists this transfer RNA (76 nucleotides) under Holophaga sp. RNAcentral describes it as "tRNA-Thr". It matches the Rfam family "tRNA". Rfam says of the family: Transfer RNA (tRNA) molecules are approximately 80 nucleotides in length. The record is from RNAcentral. Lineage: Bacteria; Pseudomonadati; Acidobacteriota; Holophagae; Holophagales; Holophagaceae.